AGCAGCCGCGGUAAUUCCAGCUCCAAUAGCGUAUAUUAAAGUUGUUGCAGUUAAAAAGCUCGUAGUUGAAUUUCGGGAUCAAUUUGUUGGUCGUGCCUCGGUACGUACUGGCAUUAUUGGUUUCUACCUUCUGAAGAACCGUCAUGUCAUUAAGUUGGUGUGGCGGGGAAUCAGGACUGUUACUUUGAAAAAAU
Molecule: ribosomal RNA, 194 nt
Filed under: uncultured Funneliformis
Lineage: Eukaryota; Fungi; Glomeromycota; Glomeromycetes; Glomerales; Glomeraceae
Description: partial 18S ribosomal RNA
Rfam family: Eukaryotic small subunit ribosomal RNA
Source: RNAcentral